RNAcentral lists this long non-coding RNA (2000 nucleotides) under Carica papaya (papaya). Its description in RNAcentral is "long non-coding RNA (CPAP_LNC000096)". Lineage: Eukaryota; Viridiplantae; Streptophyta; Magnoliopsida; Brassicales; Caricaceae. The record is from RNAcentral.
GGCUGUCUCUAAUUUUCUUGAAUUUUUUUCGCAAAACUGAAAAACACUACCGGUACCUGCACGUAACCCAAAAAAUCCCAAAUCAGACCUAGGGUCCCUUUCGGCCAAUAUCAGAAUUCCGGUACGGCGGCUCCGCCGUGCUCCGGCGACGGCGCUGCCGCCUGCGGCGGCAAUCUGCCUCGGGUUGGCCGGGGCUGCUGACGCGGCUGUUGACGUGGCACAACUUUUUUAACCCCCUGUUUCUGAUUUAUUUUUUCAAAAACACCAUCGGAAUUCAAAUUUUCACUCUUUUUUUUCAAAAUCAAUUUCAAUUAAAUCCAAAUAAUAUUUUUACCCAAUUUUAUCAUGAUUAUUAUUUUUAUUUUCAUUAAAUUAAAUUAAAUAAAAAUCUGAAAAAUUCAAAUACAAAAAAAAAUAAUAAUAAUAAAAAUAAUAAGAAUAAAAUUAAAAAUACUUGGGUGUUAUACCCAUUCUCACAUCAGUAGGUGACCCCAAUUAAAACAAAAGCAUGCAUACCCAUCCACAUUUGGAGUGGGUUUAAAUCUUUAUCCACGAGUAAGGUUUACCAUGAACCCAUUGAAUGUCAAUCAUACAUGCAAAUCCCUAGACCUGAGUCCUAACUAAAUGAGUUGUUGAUGUCCUAUUAAUAUUUUUAAAUUCUCUUUUUACACACAUUUUUUAAUUAUUCAGAUUUUGUAUAGUUGAUUAUUUAUGUAAAUACUUAAAGUUUCAUUUUCAAAAGAAAUCAAACAAUAGUCAUUAUCUUAAUAAAUUUUUCAUCACUAUUUUCUAAAUUACUUACACAAAUCAUAAUUUUAAUUAUCGUACAUACUAAUUUAUCCUAUCUACAUAUUCGUUACUAAUAUUACAUGUUUUUUUUUUAAAUUUUGAGUACAUAUCGUAUAAACCUAUGAUCGUUUUAACUCAUUCACGCAUUGGCUCAAUUUUAUUCAAAUCUCUUAUCAUUUUCACAUAAUUUCCCAUGUUUUUGUCAUGCAGUUCAUUCACCCUAUAAAAGUGCACAAUACAAACAUAAUUAAAUUCACAUUCAAGGAAAGAUUAAAACAGGCAAACAAAAAUUGAAUAUAGGCAAUAGGAAUGUAAACACAACAAGAACUCUUCGAAAAUCUACGUCAGGGACCCUAUCCGACAGUUUGUACUACCUGCAUAGUGCCCAGGUCUCAUUCCCAUCGGGGUCUCCUCAUUCAUCUGCACCAAACUUCAUUCUUAACACCAAGGUUAAUAAAAACAUCAUCAAUCUUCCAAGGUUUGUUUCAGGUUAAGGGAAACCAUAAGUACCCCUCUCUCUCUCUUCUAGCGGCAGUCCCUCUACAAAACGAGGAGGAGUCGAUUUAGGGUAAGUAUUUAUACCCUAGGCACAGGUCCUUCAAUAUAUAUUUUAAAAGAUCUGGGCUGUUCGAUAAAAGGGGAAUACUUUGGUUUUUUCACGUGGGAAAAUAGUUUCUAGCCAUCCGAUCUUGGCCCUUUAAAUUAUGACCAUUAGAUCUAAGGUUUCAUUAAAGUUAUUUGGAUCUUUUUACACCUUAAACCGUGUGUGUUAGAUCUUACCUAAUGCAAAUCUGAACCGUUUGUUCAUUAUAAGAUCUAGGCCACAUGAUAUGAUUGGGCAGGAGGUGAUCUCUUCCGUUGAUUUAAAAUUCGAACGAGAGUCAGUUUGGACCGUCAGAUCUAUUUAGGCAGGAAGCUUUCCCAAUCGUUGAUAAACUUUUAGGUGGGAAGGAAUCUUAGUCGGGAGCGAUUGGCAAUCAUCCAAUCACACCCUUAGGUGGGAAGAUUCCCUAGUCGUCUGAUUGGGCGGGAAGUCACCACGGUCGUCCGAUCAUUCCUACCAUGCAAAGUGCCAUGCAUACCCCCUAUUUGCGUUUUUAUCACAAGGUGCACGUGAAAUGGCAGAUUAGAUACAUCAUGCUUUGACGUGUCCCAUUUUUAAAAAAAAUUUCAAUUGGGCCCCAUAAUUUUAAGCCCCUUUUCAUUUUGGU